This 540-nucleotide ribosomal RNA is filed under the name fungal sp. Its description in RNAcentral is "eukaryotic LSU rRNA". The stretch from base 181 to 334 matches the Rfam family "5.8S ribosomal RNA". The record is from RNAcentral. Lineage: Eukaryota; Fungi.
GCGGAGGGAUCAUUACACAAAUAUGAAGGCGGGCUGGAACCUCUCGGGGUUACAGCCUUGCUGAAUUAUUCACCCUUGUCUUUUGCGUACUUCUUGUUUCCUUGGUGGGUUCGCCCACCACUAGGACAAACAUAAACCUUUUGUAAUUGCAAUCAGCGUCAGUAACAAAUUAAUAAUUACAACUUUCAACAACGGAUCUCUUGGUUCUGGCAUCGAUGAAGAACGCAGCGAAAUGCGAUAAGUAGUGUGAAUUGCAGAAUUCAGUGAAUCAUCGAAUCUUUGAACGCACAUUGCGCCCUUUGGUAUUCCAAAGGGCAUGCCUGUUCGAGCGUCAUUUGUACCCUCAAGCUUUGCUUGGUGUUGGGCGUCUUGUCUCUAGCUUUGCUGGAGACUCGCCUUAAAGUAAUUGGCAGCCGGCCUACUGGUUUCGGAGCGCAGCACAAGUCGCACUCUCUAUCAGCAAAGGUCUAGCAUCCACUAAGCCUUUUUUUCAACUUUUGACCUCGGAUCAGGUAGGGAUACCCGCUGAACUUAAGCAUA